This 402-nucleotide ribosomal RNA is filed under the name uncultured bacterium. RNAcentral describes it as "bacterial SSU rRNA". It matches the Rfam family "Bacterial small subunit ribosomal RNA", at positions 355 to 774 of the family's 1533-position model. The record is from RNAcentral.
UGGGGAAUAUUGCACAAUGGGCGAAAGCCUGAUGCAGCAACGCCGCGUGAGUGAUGAAGGCCUUCGGGUUGUAAAGCUCUGUCUUCUGGGACGAUAAUGACGGUACCAGAGGAGGAAGCCACGGCUAACUACGUGCCAGCAGCCGCGGUAAUACGUAGGUGGCAAGCGUUGUCCGGAUUUACUGGGCGUAAAGGAUGCGUAGGCGGAUACUUAAGUCAGAUGUGAAAAUCCCGGGCUUAACUUGGGAACUGCAUUUGAAACUGGGUAUCUAGAGUGCUGGAGAGGAAAGUGGAAUUCCUAGUGUAGCGGUGAAAUGCGUCGAGAUUAGUAAGAACACCAGUGGCGAAGGCGACUUUCUGGACCGUAACUGACGCUGAGGCAUGAAAGCGUGGGGAGCAAACA